GCUGCAGCCUUACUCCCAGCGAUUAAUAGUCGCUAUCCAAAAAAGCCAAUUAAAACUCAGUUGAAAAAUUUAGGCCGAUUCAGUUGGUACCACCACCUCGGUUUUGACUGAGCCGCGGACCAGGGACAACGUAGAAAAUAUAUCAAGAAACGACUAGUGAUUAUUUUUGAAACGGUAGCCGAAGUAAGCCGAUAUCAGGCCGAUGUUGCGUUCCGUAUUUCAAUAGAGGUGAAAGAAAGAGAUGUCGCUCUAUAAAAUUGUAUAAGAUCUUGUGUUUUUUCUCGCUCUGACAAGGAAAAAAUUGGUGUGCGUUCGAAGUACUAGCGAAGCUUGAAAUAAGAAAUCCGGUAAUCAUCAGUCCAUAUUAUGUUUUUAUUUUUUCAAUGUUAGUAAAAUAUUAAUUAAAAUACUUAUUAAACACUAGGUUAAAGUCAUCACUCAUGCCAUUUUUUACUUAUUAUUCACAAAAACUUAACUUUGUAAACGUUAAAAUAUGAAAUUAGGGGCUUUUGAACGCAUUCAAACUUAAAAUCAAAAUACUCUGUGAACCUGUGAAAACACUCCCUCAGUGUUGCCAUUAGCGUACAUUUUACACAUUUGACGUACUAUUUUAGCCUCCCAUGUGUAAUGUGUAUAUAAUUGGUCCAUGUAAUGUACCAUUUAAACUUAACUUCCAAUAUCAUGAUUAUCAUGUGUAAAAUCUUUGUUUAUGGACUAUUUUACGUAUUUUUUUUGGAAUCGCAGCAAAAAAAUUAUUAACCACAAUUAGUUACGAUUUUGAUUUUCUUGUAUGAUUAUUUUCUCAACCAAUAUGAUUAUUACAUGAUUACAAUGAGUAUAAGUAUAUCAUACCUACAUAAAACUGCGGGGUACCUACUCUGAAGGGUUUAGGACAUUGUAACACUUUUUAAAAUGCUAUAAUAAAUAUAGGUACGUUUCUCACGACUAAAAUCUAUUAAAAUAUAGUACUUCUGCUGACGAGCAGGUGCGAAAGAGCUGGAAAAGCUAAAUUGAGUGAUUUUAGUAAAAAAACAGCUCAUGUACGGUUUUAACCCUAAAUGUACGUUUUCAGCGCUGGAUAUGUGCGUUUUGAGAACUCCGUUGCGGCAACACUGCACUCCCUCCACUUCAUUCAUACAACAUACAAUAACAAUGAUAAAACAAAAUUACAAAUGGAAUUUCCUUAUUUAAAUCAUAUUUAAAUAGAUAUUUGUGCACUAAAUACAUAAUAAUAUGACAAAGAAGAAGAAGACGUUGCGUGUCACCGUAUAGCCAAGGAAAUAUCUUGUGAAAGUUUUAACUCAAGGCGGAAAUCUAUUGAAAAAAUACUCAACAUAACCUACAAUUACAGUGAAAUACUGAAAAUAUCUUGUACCGUGAUAAUAUUUCUGAAUAAUAAGUGCAAACCCAUACUCUAAGAUCGUGCUUUCAACCACAUACUUAAUACAAUUCCAUAAUCAUAUCGAAAUCCUAAAGUUCGUAAGUCGUAAGUGAUCAUAGUUUAGGUGUGUACUUAUUAGACUCAUGCAUUGUAAACUCUAUAAACGAUUACUCGUAAUGUAUUAAUCAUAUUAAAAGUUGAA
Plutella xylostella (diamondback moth) is the source of this 1583-nucleotide long non-coding RNA. RefSeq lists it as uncharacterized. NCBI's taxonomy places the organism in Eukaryota, Metazoa, Arthropoda, Insecta, Lepidoptera, Plutellidae. The record is from RefSeq and is a predicted model, not a curated record.